AAUAUAAAAGCACACAAACAACACAAAUAUGUGGAAGCCUAAAGAAAAUAUACGAAUGGUUCUAAAGAAAGAACGAGACUAGAGCCAAGAAAAAAAAACAUAGUUUGGACUUGAAAAUGAGACAACAAAGAAGCCUCAUCCUCAAACCAGGUUGGGCCAAAGCAAGAAGAUGAAGCUAUAAAGGUGGAAGUGGUGCGGAAGAUAUGGGGAUAAUGGUGGUUAAUCUCAGUUUAGAGGUUUAAGUGAUGGAAUAAGAUGAUUGAUGGUGCUCUUAGAGAGGUUGAGCCAACUCUAGAGAUGAGUGGCUAGAGGAACCUCAUGGGAUGCUCUAGCUAUGACUUAGAGGCAAGUUAAGAAUAACUCAAUAGUUUGACAACAUUUUAUUACAAAUCUCAAAGUGAGUUUACAAAGAGGGAGACACCUUUAUUUAUAGAUCAAGGUGUCUCCAAAGUAGACCAAAAUCCUAAAAUGUUAUCUUGCACCAAACUCUAAAAAUUCUAUCUUGGUAGAGGAGAGCUUGACAUGUGAGACUCUAACUUUUAGAAAAUUUUUCCACUCUUAGAGUGUCAUGUGUAAAGCCACUCUAGCAAAAGUUUCUCCACUUGGAAAAUGACACAUGACCACUACCUUUG
RNAcentral lists this long non-coding RNA (632 nucleotides) under Vigna radiata. RNAcentral's name for it is "long non-coding RNA (VRAD_LNC005877)". The record is from RNAcentral. Lineage: Eukaryota; Viridiplantae; Streptophyta; Magnoliopsida; Fabales; Fabaceae.